RNAcentral lists this ribosomal RNA (256 nucleotides) under uncultured bacterium. RNAcentral describes it as "partial 16S ribosomal RNA". It matches the Rfam family "Bacterial small subunit ribosomal RNA", at positions 524 to 776 of the family's 1533-position model. The record is from RNAcentral.
GACGUAGGGCGCGAGCGUUGUCCGGAUUUAUUGGGCGUAAAGAGCUCGUAGGCGGCUUGUCGCGUCGUCCGUGAAAACCCACAGCUCAACUGUGGGCUUGCGGUCGAUACGGGCAGGCUAGAGUUCGGUGAGGGGAGACGUGGAAUUCCUGGUGUGAGCGGUGAAAUGCGCAGAUAUCAGGAGGAACACCGGUGGCGAAGGCGGGUCUCUGGGCCGAUACUGACGCUGAGGUGCGAAAGCGUGGGGAGCAAACAGG